UCCCUUAGUAACUGCGAGUGAAGAGGGAAAAGCUCAAAUUUAAAAUCUGGCGGUCGUUUGGCUGUCCGAGUUGUAAUCUAGAGAAGUGUUGCCCGUGCUGGACCAUGUACAAGUCUCCUGGAAUGGAGCAUCAUAGAGGGUGAGAAUCCUGUCUUUGACAUGGACUCCCAGUGCUUUUGUGGUAUGCUCUCAAAGAGUCGAGUUGUUUGGGAAUGCAGCUCAAAAUGGGUGGUAAAUGCCAUCUAAAGCUAAAUAUUGGCGAGAGACCGAUAGUGAACAAGUACCGUGAGGGAAAGAUGAAAAGAACUUUGGAAAGAGAGUUAAACAGUACGUGAAAUUGCUGAAAGGGAAACGCUUGAAGUCAGUCGCAUUGACUCGAAAUCAGCUCUGCUUUUGCUGGGUGUAUUUUCUUGCCAAUGGGUCAGCAUCAAUUUUGACCAUUGGAUAAAGUCAUUGGGAAUGUGGCAUCUUUUAGAUGUGUUAUAGCCUGGUGAUGCAUACAGUGGUUGGGAUUGAGGAAUUCAGCACGCCACCAGGCCGGGUUUUUUGACCACGUUCGUGCUUANGAUGCUGGCAUAAUGGCUUUAAUUGACCCGUCUUGAAACACGGACCAAGGAGUCUAACAUAUCUGCAAGUG
This 637-nucleotide ribosomal RNA is filed under the name Inocybe sp. RNAcentral describes it as "LSU rRNA". It matches the Rfam family "Eukaryotic large subunit ribosomal RNA", at positions 76 to 692 of the family's 3401-position model. Lineage: Eukaryota; Fungi; Basidiomycota; Agaricomycetes; Agaricales; Inocybaceae. The record is from RNAcentral.